RNAcentral lists this ribosomal RNA (406 nucleotides) under uncultured bacterium. Its description in RNAcentral is "partial 16S ribosomal RNA". It matches the Rfam family "Bacterial small subunit ribosomal RNA", at positions 30 to 526 of the family's 1533-position model. The record is from RNAcentral.
AUUGAACGCUGGCGGCAGGCCUAACACAUGCAAGUCGAGCGAGCGGCGGACGGGUGAGUAAUGUCUGGGAAACUUCCUGAUGGAGGGGGAUAACUACUGGAAACGGUAGCUAAUACCACAUACCAUCAUAUGUGCCCAGAUGGGAUUAGCUAGUAGGUGGGGUAACGGCUCACUUAGGCGACGAUCCCUAGCGGGUCUGAGAGGAUGACCAGGCACACUGGAACUGAGACACGGUCCUGACUCCUACGGGAGGCAGCAGUGGGGAAUAUUGCACAAUGGGCGAAAGCCUGAUGCAGCCAUGCCGCGUGUGUGAAGGAGGCCUUCGGGUUGUAAAGCACUAUCAGCGGGGAGGCGUUACCCGCAGAAGAAGCACCGGCUAACUCCGUGCCAGCAGCCGCGGUAAUAC